AAGUCGUAACAAGGUUUCCGUAGGUGAACCUGCGGAAGGAUCAUUAAAAGAUUUUUGGUAUAAUUUUUUGGGGUCAAUUGAUCUCAAAAAAUAAUUCACCAUUUGUGCAUUGUUAUUAAGAUAUACUUUGGUUAGAGCUUUGACAUUAAGUCAACUUCUUGCUAACUCUAUCCUUUAAAGGACAGUUGGCUAUGAAGCGUGCCUACCAAGGUUUUUAAAUCAAACUCUUUGUAUUUUGUCUGACCUAAAUAAAUAAUAAUUAAAUCAUAACUUUCAACAACGGAUCUCUUGGCUCUC
This 297-nucleotide unclassified non-coding RNA is filed under the name fungal sp. RNAcentral's name for it is "partial internal transcribed spacer region". The stretch from base 1 to 46 matches the Rfam family "Eukaryotic small subunit ribosomal RNA", at positions 1786 to 1831 of the family's 1831-position model. The record is from RNAcentral. Lineage: Eukaryota; Fungi.